This is a long non-coding RNA of Phodopus roborovskii (desert hamster), 784 nucleotides long. RefSeq lists it as uncharacterized. Lineage: Eukaryota; Metazoa; Chordata; Mammalia; Rodentia; Cricetidae. The transcript has 3 exons. The record is from RefSeq and is a predicted model, not a curated record.
CCUCGCAUGCCGACAUUCCACCUCUGUAUGUCUGAGCAAUUUUCAACUUGGCAGGAAGGGAGCUGCGCAGAAAUUUGCGUAAGCCUUGAUAAAUAUUUUAUGCAAAUUAAAAUUGAAUUCUUUGCUUAGUUUAAGCAAUUUCCCUGUAAGGAGUGUGUCGAGGAGGGAGAUUACAACAUUUGCCUGGUUUGUUUAUAAUUUAAUUUUUUUUUUAUGUUGCGGCUGGCAGAGGAGGAGAUGGUAACACCUGUGAGUGUUUAUAACGUCCCAUCUCCUUCACAGCUGCUCCUAUUCAAAACACCUCGCCGGCGUAAUAAUUUCAUAAAAUUUCAUGAUUUACCAUCUGCUCGUGCCGGUUUGGGCUUCGGCAAUAAGCUCGUGCGUGGCGCCCGGCCCAGAAAGGUACAAUAACUGUAUAUUUUAACUUAAUGGUUUUUUGGGGGGCAUGCAAAUUUCUGUGAGCAGAUUGUGUUGAGGCCUGGGCUUGGAGCGGCCUCCCUGAGCCCCAGAAGCCCCCCGGAGCACCCCCCGGCUCAGUGAAGGUUGCCCGUGUCGAAAUCGAGAUAUCAAACACCAAGUGCCGAAAGACAGGUUGAAGAACCUGCCAGAAGCGCUCAGUGGCAGAGAUUAAAACAAUUUUAGAAGCCGGAGCCCAGUGCCUCUCGUUGGAUGGACUGGAGGCUUUGUGGCCAUCUGUGUGCCAGGCACUCAGCAUGUCGUGAGAGCAAGUGUUUGUGAUACAUGAUGCACGACAUGGACCCUCAAAGCUGGUACCCGUGUCAGG